CCUACGGGUGGCUGCAGUGGGGAAUAUUGGACAAUGGGGGCAACCCUGAUCCAGCCAUGCCGCGUGUGUGAAGAAGGCCCUCGGGUUGUAAAGCACUUUCAGUGAGGAAGAACGCCUGGUGGUUAAUACCCAUCAGGAAAGACAUCACUCACAGAAGAAGCACCGGCUAACUCCGUGCCAGCAGCCGCGGUAAUACGGAGGGUGCGAGCGUUAAUCGGAAUUACUGGGCGUAAAGCGCGCGUAGGUGGCUUGAUAAGUCGGUUGUGAAAGCCCCGGGCUCAACCUGGGAACGGCAUCCGGAACUGUCAAGCUAGAGUGCAGGAGAGGAAGGUAGAAUUCCCGGUGUAGCGGUGAAAUGCGUAGAGAUCGGGAGGAAUACCAGUGGCGAAGGCGGCCUUCUGGACUGACACUGACACUGAGGUGCGAAAGCGUGGGUAGCAAACAGGAUUAGAUACCCUUGUAGUC
This 465-nucleotide ribosomal RNA is filed under the name Vreelandella stevensii. RNAcentral describes it as "partial 16S ribosomal RNA". It matches the Rfam family "Bacterial small subunit ribosomal RNA", at positions 338 to 795 of the family's 1533-position model. Lineage: Bacteria; Pseudomonadati; Pseudomonadota; Gammaproteobacteria; Oceanospirillales; Halomonadaceae. The record is from RNAcentral.